Molecule: long non-coding RNA, 1427 nt
Organism: Triticum aestivum (bread wheat)
Lineage: Eukaryota; Viridiplantae; Streptophyta; Magnoliopsida; Poales; Poaceae
Exons: 3
Source: RefSeq, a predicted model, not a curated record
CACAUCGCCGUUACCCUCCCGCUCCUCUUCCUCCUCAGCAUCAACGGCGGGGGUGCUGGGAGGGGGAGGGGCAGAUGGGCCCUUCUUCGAGCCGUACAACCAUCGCAGAGCAGAGCAGGAAGCUCGUCUCCGAGUUAAAUGCAUCUGGUCAUGGAUAUGAUUCAGAGCAUCAGAUUCACAAGCAUGAUGGAUGGAGGGAUCUGUCAAAUGGUGCGGCUCCUUGUGCUACAACGACAGUGACAUGCCGGCCUCCCACACGCACAUAGCAUGCACUGAUUGACACCUCAGUAAUCAAAUGCAGGGGAGUAGCUAGCUUUGCUUGUAUGUGUGUGUACUAAGAUGAGGCAGUUAUCAAAUUAAGUGUCUUCUGAAAGCAACAAAUAUGAUGAUGAUACAGUACAAACUUGUAAGUCACAUCAAACUCUGCUUCUGCAAAAAAGAAAAACAACUCUACCUCUGUUUCGGAGAAAUAAAAGUGAAGGAGAAAGAUUGUGUGUGUGUGGAUGAAAAUCAAGCAAAGACAAAUGAUGUCCAGGCCACUUUAGUGUUCACCACUUGAUCCUCUCCACCUAAUUUGCCUUGCAGAUUAACAGAUGUGGUGGAGUAUAUCUUCUGGAAUGGGUAUGAACCGUCCAAAGUUCAGGUUCUUCGUUGCCUUCUUCAGGUGGAGUGAAAUUGAGAUCUGGGACUACCAUGCUUGAAAUUGGGCCAACGAGUUGUUGCUGUUGAUGUUGAGGAUCUGCUUCUUCCUUGUUGUUGAAGAUCUGCUGAUGUUGUUGGUGAGGAGCUGGACCAUCAAAGGUGCUGGACGAGGAGCUGGGCCGGCUUUUGGCGAGAAGCCAACAAGGAUCACCGAGCCUGGAGGUUGUGGAAUACGCAGAUCCUGGGCAAGGAGCAGCGAGGUGUUGGGCGAGGAGUUAUGCCGGCUUCCGAGCUCAACUUCUCCUGGCCUUCUCCCCUGGCUCCCCUGGCUCAGGGCUAGCUGCACCUUGCCGACGACGCGGGGAAGAAGGGAGGCAGUGCUGGCGAGGUGCGCUGGGGCUGGUGUCCGGCGGCCGGCGAGGUGUGGUCCUGGGGCCGGCGGUGACCAGGAAUCUGGGUGGCGAUGAGGACGAGAUCCUGGGCGGCGAUGAGCGGGAGAUCCUGGGCGGAGAAGUUGGGCGCCAGGUGAGCAGCGAAGAGAUCUUGGGCGUGAGGUGGGCAGCGACGUGCUGGGCGAGGAGAAGCCGGGUGCGAGGUGGGCGACGACGCACUGGGCGAGGAGAAGCCGGGCGCGAGGUGGGCAACGAUGCGCUGGGCGAGGCGAUUCCGAUAUUUUUUGAAUUUCAAUUGAUCGAUUGGAAGGGGUAUUGUUGUCCAUUACCCUUUUUUGGGGCUGUCGGAAAUUUUCUUCCGCGCCUUACAAAAGUGAAUGGAGGGAGUAUUAU